GCCGGCGUAGCUCAGCGGUAGAGCGGCGCACUCGUAAUGCGCAGGCCACCGGUUCGAAUCCGGUCGCCGGCUCCA
This 75-nucleotide transfer RNA is filed under the name Pseudomonadota bacterium. RNAcentral's name for it is "tRNA-Thr". It matches the Rfam family "tRNA". Rfam says of the family: Transfer RNA (tRNA) molecules are approximately 80 nucleotides in length. Their secondary structure includes four short double-helical elements and three loops (D, anti-codon, and T loops). The record is from RNAcentral. Lineage: Bacteria; Pseudomonadati; Pseudomonadota. RNAcentral also lists the same sequence under 1 other name.